UAGGGAAUCUUCGGCAAUGGACGAAAGUCUGACCGAGCAACGCCGCGUGAGUGAAGAAGGUUUUCGGAUCGUAAAACUCUGUUGUUAGAGAAGAACAAGGACGUUAGUAACUGAACGUCCCCUGACGGUAUCUAACCAGAAAGCCACGGCUAACUACGUGCCAGCAGCCGCGGUAAUACGUAGGUGGCAAGCGUUGUCCGGAUUUAUUGGGCGUAAAGCGAGCGCAGGCGGUUUCUUAAGUCUGAUGUGAAAGCCCCCGGCUCAACCGGGGAGGGUCAUUGGAAACUGGGAGACUUGAGUGCAGAAGAGGAGAGUGGAAUUCCAUGUGUAGCGGUGAAAUGCGUAGAUAUAUGGAGGAAAACCAGUGGCAAAGGCGGCUCUCUGGUCUGUAACUGACGCUGAGGCUCGAAAGCGUGGGGAGCAAACAGG
This 429-nucleotide ribosomal RNA is filed under the name Gemmatimonadota bacterium. RNAcentral's name for it is "Gemmatimonadetes bacterium partial 16S ribosomal RNA". It matches the Rfam family "Bacterial small subunit ribosomal RNA", at positions 355 to 776 of the family's 1533-position model. Lineage: Bacteria; Pseudomonadati; Gemmatimonadota. The record is from RNAcentral.